This 484-nucleotide ribosomal RNA is filed under the name uncultured bacterium. RNAcentral's name for it is "partial 16S ribosomal RNA". It matches the Rfam family "Bacterial small subunit ribosomal RNA", at positions 28 to 523 of the family's 1533-position model. The record is from RNAcentral.
GACGAACGCUGGCGGCGUGCUUAACACAUGCAAGUCGAACGAUGAAGCCGGAGCUUGCUCUGGUGAAUUAGUGGCGAACGGGUGAGUAACACGUGAGUAACCUGCCCUUGACUCUGGGAUAACUGCUAGAAAUGGUAGCUAAUACCGGAUACGACCCUCGGAGGCAUCUCCAGGGGGUGGAAAGAAUUUCGGUCAAGGAUGGACUCGCGGCCUAUCAGCUAGUUGGUGAGGUAAUGGCUCACCAAGGCGACGACGGGUAGCCGGCCUGAGGGGGUGACCGGCCACACUGGGACUGGGGCACGGCCCAGACUCCUACGGGAGGCAGCAGUGGGGAAUAUUGCACAAUGGGCGCAAGCCUGAUGCAGCAACGCCGCGUGAGGGAUGACGGCCUUCGGGUUGUAAACCUCUUUUAGUAGGGAAGAAGCGAAAGUGACGGUACCUGCAGAAAAAGCACCGGCUAACUACGUGCCAGCCGCCGCGGUAA